RNAcentral lists this ribosomal RNA (1603 nucleotides) under human oral metagenome. RNAcentral's name for it is "bacterial LSU rRNA". It matches the Rfam family "Bacterial large subunit ribosomal RNA", at positions 395 to 2001 of the family's 2925-position model. The record is from RNAcentral.
CGACUGGAAGCACCCGAGUAGCGUCAGGCACGAGGAAUCUGGCGUGAAUCAGCGUGGACCAUAUCACGCAAGGCUAAAUACUGCUGUUGACCGAUAGUGAAGAGUACCGUGAGGGAAAGGUGAAAAGAACCCUGAGCAAGGGAGUGAAAUAGAAUUUGAAACCGUGUGCUUACAAACGGUAGGAGCACUUUAUGUGUGACUGCGUGGAUUUUGGUUAAUCAUCCUGCGAGUUAUGGCUGGUGGCAAGGUUAAUAGAACGGAGCCGAAGGGAAACCGAGUCUUAACAGGGCGACAAGUCGCCAGCCAUAGACGCGAAACCUAGUGAUCUAGGCCUGUCCAGGCUGAAGCUGAGGUAAGACUCAGUGGAGGGCCGAACUCACCGCCGUUGAAAAGUUGGGAGAUGAGAUAGGUCUAGGGGUGAAAAGCCAAUCGAACUAGGAGAUAGCUCGUUCUCUCCGAAAUGCAUUUAGGUGCAGCCUUGGCAUGAAGAUAUGCGGGGGUAGAGCUCUGUAUGGUCUAGGGGGCGUACUGCUUACCGAAAUCAAGCAAACUGCGAAUACCGCAUAUUAAUAGCCAGGAGUGAGUCCGUGGAUGACAAGGUCCUCGGACGAGAGGGGAACAGCCCAGACCGCCAGCUAAGGUCCCUAAUUAUGUCUAAGUGGGAAAGGAGGUGGAUAUUCACAGACAACCAGGAGGUUGGCUUAGAAGCAGCCAUACCUUGAAAGAGUGCGUAACAGCUCACUGGUCGAGAGUAUCUGCGCCGAAGAUGUAACGGGGCUAAGACAUAAACCGAAGCUGCGGAGGCGUGCUUGCACGCCUGGUAGGAGAGCGUUCUGUAGGCCGUUGAAGGAAUGCCGCAAGGCCAUUCUGGAGGUAUCAGAAGUGAGAAUGCAGGAAUGAGUAGCGAGAAGGCGGGCGAGAAUCCCGCCGGCCGGAAGUCCAAGGUUUCCAGGGGAAGGUUUGUCCGCCCUGGGGGAGUCGGGACCUAAGCAUAAGCAAAAAUGUGAUGGCGAAUGGAAAACAGGUUAAUAUUCCUGUACCGCUGUUAUCGCCUGAGAGACGGAGUGACGCAGGAAGGUAUGCGGGAAGGCUGACGGAAUAGCCUUUCUAAGGGCGUAGCAUGGGCAUGCAGGAAAAUCCGCAUGCCUAAAUGUGAGACCUGACGGGUAAGUGCAUCUUGCAUAAGCCGCAGAUCCUACACUGCCGAGAAAAACUUCUAUCGAUGAGAACCAGCGCCCGUACUGUAAACCGACACAGGUGGACAGAGUGAGAAACUUAAGGCCGACAGGAUAACUCUAGCUAAGGAACUCUGCAAAAUAGCCCCGUAACUUCGGGAGAAGGGGUGCCUGAUAUACCUGAAAGGAGAAACACCUCAAGGGGAAACAGGCCGCAGUGAAGAGUCCCAAGCAACUGUUUACCAAAAACACAGGUCUAUGCUAAGCUGAAAGGCGACGUAUAUGGGCUGACACCUGCCCAGUGCCGGAAGGUUAAGAGGAGGGUUGAGAGACUCGAAUUGAAGCCCCGGUGAACGGCGGCCGUAACUAUAACGGUCCUAAGGUAGCGAAAUUCCUUGUCGGGUAAGUUCCGACCUGCACGAAUGGUG